UGAACGCUAGCGGCAGGCCUAACACAUGCAAGUCGAGGGGCGAUCGCGGGGUAGCAAUACUCUGGCGGCGACCGGACGAAAGGGUGAGUAACGCGUGAGCAACAGUCGCCCGGUACGUGGGGGAGUAGUCAGUUAGGAAACGAUGACGUAACUACCCCGUAACAACAGACGUCCGCAGUGGUCUUGUUUGAGAGAUUCAUUGAUACCGGAUUGGCUCGCGUACCAUUAGCUAGUUGGCGGGGUAACGGCCCACCAAGGCGACGAUGGUUAGGGGUUCUGAGAGGAAGGUCCCCCACAUUGGAACUGAGACACGGUCCAGACUCCUACGGGAGGCAGCAGUGAGGAAUAUUGGACAAUGGCCGGGAGGCUGAUCCAGCCAUGCCGCGUGCCGGGAGGACGGCCCUAUGGGUUGUAAACCGCUUUUGUCAGGGAGCAAUAAGGUCCACGUGUGGUCCGAUGAGAGUACCUGGCGAAUAAGCAUCGGCUAACUCCGUGCCAGCCGCAGC
RNAcentral lists this ribosomal RNA (506 nucleotides) under uncultured bacterium. Its description in RNAcentral is "bacterial SSU rRNA". It matches the Rfam family "Bacterial small subunit ribosomal RNA", at positions 30 to 518 of the family's 1533-position model. The record is from RNAcentral.